UGACGGUACCCCACAACAACCUAGAGGAGCCUGUCCAAUAACCGAUAUCCCACGAUUAACCCAACCCCCCCUAGCCAACAGUCUAUAUACCGCCGUCGCCAGCCUACCCCAUGAGGGAAACAAAGUAAGCUAAAUAGUUAUACACUAACACGACAGGUCGAGGUGUAACUCAUGGGGGGGACAAGAUGGGCUACAUUUUCUACACCAGAAAACACGAAUAAACCAUGAAAAAGAAACUGAAGGUGGAUUUAGCAGUAAACUAGGAACAUAAUACCUAAUUGAAAUAAACGCAAUGGGAGUGCGUACACA
Molecule: ribosomal RNA, 309 nt
Filed under: Macroprotodon mauritanicus
Lineage: Eukaryota; Metazoa; Chordata; Lepidosauria; Squamata; Colubridae
Description: partial 12S ribosomal RNA
Source: RNAcentral